RNAcentral lists this ribosomal RNA (443 nucleotides) under uncultured prokaryote. Its description in RNAcentral is "bacterial SSU rRNA". It matches the Rfam family "Archaeal small subunit ribosomal RNA", at positions 1 to 422 of the family's 1478-position model. The record is from RNAcentral.
AUUUCCGGUUGAUCCUCGCCGGACUCCACUGCUAUCGGGGUAAGGCUAAGCCAUGCAAGUCGAAGGCCUCCGGCUCCGGGGGCCUGGCGUACGGCUGAGUAACGCGUGGCCAACCUGCCCUGCGGAGGGGGAUAACCCCGGGAAACUGGGGAUAAACCCCCAUAGGUGACCAGGUCUGGAAGGACCGGUCGCCGAAAGUCCCGGUCGGGGAUGCUCCGGCCGGGAGCCGCAGGAUGGGGCUGCGUCCUAUCAGGUAGUUGGUGGGGUAACGGCCCACCAAGCCUGUGACGGGUAGGGGCCCUGAGAGGGGGAGCCCCCAGAUGGACUCUGAGACAAGAGUCCAGGCCCUACGGGGCGCAGCAGGCGCGAAAACUCCGCAAUGGGCAAAAGCCCGACGGGGUUACCCCGAGUGCCACCCUCGUGGUGGCUUUUGCCCGCUCUAA